GCCAGGCGUGGUGGUGCACGCCUGUAAUCCCAGCUACUCAGGAGGCUGGGGCAGGAGAAUCGCUUGAACCUGGGAGGCAGAGAUUGCAGUGAGCUGGGAUCAUGCCACUGCAGUCCAGCCUGGGUAACAGAGUGAGACUCUAUCCCAA
This 148-nucleotide non-coding RNA is filed under the name Homo sapiens (human). Lineage: Eukaryota; Metazoa; Chordata; Mammalia; Primates; Hominidae. The record is from Rfam by way of RNAcentral.